RNAcentral lists this ribosomal RNA (254 nucleotides) under uncultured bacterium. Its description in RNAcentral is "partial 16S ribosomal RNA". It matches the Rfam family "Bacterial small subunit ribosomal RNA", at positions 524 to 776 of the family's 1533-position model. The record is from RNAcentral.
UACGGAGGGGGCAAGCGUUAUUCGGAUUUAUUGGGCGUAAAGGGCGCGUAGGCGGCCCGGCAAGUCUGAUGUGAAAUCUCCACAGCUCACCUGGGAGAGGCCAUUGGAAACUGCCGGGCUUGAGGUCCGGAGAGGCCGGCGGAAUUCCCGGUGUAGCGGUGGAAUGCGUAGAUAUCGGGAAGAACACCAGUGGCGAAGGCGGCCGGCUGGACGGCACCUGACGCUGAGGCGCGAAAGUGCGGGGAGCAAACGGG